UACGUAGGGGGCAAGCGUUGUCCGGAAUCAUUGGGCGUAAAGCGCGUGUAGGCGGCUAGGUAAGUCUGCUCUGAAAGCCCGGGGCUCAACCCCGGGAGGCGGGUGGAUACUGUCUAGCUCGAGUCCGGAAGAGGAGUGUGGAAUUCCUGGUGUAGCGGUGAAAUGCGCAGAUAUCAGGAGGAACACCAAUGGCGAAGGCAGCACUCUGGGACGUGACUGACGCUGAGACGCGAAAGCGUGGGGAG
This 245-nucleotide ribosomal RNA is filed under the name uncultured bacterium. RNAcentral's name for it is "partial 16S ribosomal RNA". It matches the Rfam family "Bacterial small subunit ribosomal RNA", at positions 524 to 768 of the family's 1533-position model. The record is from RNAcentral.